This 73-nucleotide transfer RNA is filed under the name Candidatus Iainarchaeum sp. RNAcentral's name for it is "tRNA-Met". It matches the Rfam family "tRNA". Rfam says of the family: Transfer RNA (tRNA) molecules are approximately 80 nucleotides in length. Their secondary structure includes four short double-helical elements and three loops (D, anti-codon, and T loops). Lineage: Archaea; Nanobdellati; Candidatus Iainarchaeota; Candidatus Iainarchaeia; Candidatus Iainarchaeales; Candidatus Iainarchaeaceae. The record is from RNAcentral.
GCCGGUGUGGUUUAGCAGUUAGAACGCCUGACUCAUAAUCAGGAGGUCGGCGGUGCGAAUCCGCCCACCGGCA